Molecule: ribosomal RNA, 253 nt
Filed under: uncultured bacterium
Lineage: Bacteria
Description: partial 16S ribosomal RNA
Rfam family: Bacterial small subunit ribosomal RNA
Source: RNAcentral
UACAGAGGUCCCGAGCGUUGUUCGGAUUCACUGGGCGUAAAGGGUGCGUAGGCGGUUCUGUAAGUCUGAUGUGAAAUCUCCAGGCCCAACCUGGAAACUGCAUUAGAAACUACAGGGCUAGAGGCUUGGAGGGGGAACUGGAAUUCUCGGUGUAGCAGUGAAAUGCGUAGAGAUCGAGAGGAACACCAGUGGCGAAGGCGAGUUCCCGGACAAGUCCUGACGCUGAGGCACGAAAGCCAGGGGAGCAAACAGG